GCGUACGGGUGCGGACACGUGUGCACCUGCCUUUAUCUGGGGAUAGCCUUUCGAAAGGAGAUUAUACCCCAUANUAUGUUGGAUGGCAUCAUUCGAACAUUGAAAACUCCGGUGGAUAGAGAUGGGCACGCGCAAGAUUAGAUAGUUGGUGAGGUAACGGCUCACCAAGUCUACGAUCUUUAGGGGGCCUUGAGAAGGUGAUCCCCCACACUGGUACUGAGACACGGACCAGACUCCUACGGGAGGCAGCAGUGAGGAAUAUUGGACAAUGGGUGAGAGCCUGAUCCAGCCAUCCCGCGUGAAGGACGACUGCCCUUAAUUGGGUUGUAAACUUCUUUUUGGGUAAUUAAGGGAUAAAACCUACCCUCGUGAGGGUAGCUGAAGGUACUAUACGAAUAAGCACCGGCUAAACUUUUCCCCCCCCCGGGGGGUUUUGGGGCCCAGCAGCCGCGGUAAUACGGAGGGUGCAAGCGUUAUCCGGAUUUAUUGGGUUUAAAGGGUCCGUAGCGGAUCUGUAAGUCAGUGGUGAAAUUUCCCUUUUUUUCCCCAAAACAAAAAGGGGCUUUAAACUUGUGAAACUGCCAUUGAUAACUGCAGGUC
This 600-nucleotide ribosomal RNA is filed under the name uncultured bacterium. RNAcentral describes it as "partial 16S ribosomal RNA". It matches the Rfam family "Bacterial small subunit ribosomal RNA", at positions 98 to 641 of the family's 1533-position model. The record is from RNAcentral.